Molecule: ribosomal RNA, 340 nt
Filed under: Thraustochytriidae sp.
Lineage: Eukaryota; Bigyra; Thraustochytrida; Thraustochytriidae
Description: SSU rRNA
Rfam family: Eukaryotic small subunit ribosomal RNA
Source: RNAcentral
GGGAUCGAAGAUGAUUAGAUACCAUCGUAGUCUUAACCGUAAACUAUGCCGACUUGCGAUUGUCUCUUUAUCUUAUGCAGAGGGAGGCAGCAGCACAUGAGAAAUCAAAGUCUUUGGGUUCCGGGGGGAGUAUGGUCGCAAGGCUGAAACUUAAAGGAAUUGACGGAAGGGCACCACCAGGAGUGGAGCCUGCGGCUUAAUUUGACUCAACACGGGGAAACUUACCAGGUCCAGACAAAGUAAGGAUUGACAGAUUGAGAGCUCUUUCUUGAUUCUUUGGGUGGUGGUGCAUGGCCGUUCUUAGUUGGUGGAGUGAUUUGUCUGGUUAAUUCCGAUAACG